GGAUGUGAGGGUGAUCUGGCUGUGACAUCUGUCACCCCACUGAUCACCAGGGUUGAUUUGGCUGAUCUGUUUGGCUAGGCAGGUGUCCCCUUCCUCCCUCACUGCUCCAGGUGCUUCCCUCCUGAAGCCCGGUCAGAGAAGAUGACCAUCCCCGAGAGAGGAGGACCAGUCUUCAGUCAAGGGUAUAUGAGUAGCUGUGGUCUCCUGCUAGAACCUCCAAACGGGCUGUUACAGCAACACAAAACAGACUAAGACGUGCAUUAUCUAUUUUGUGAAAUUAAAGGUCAUGU
Molecule: small nuclear RNA, 290 nt
Filed under: Saimiri boliviensis boliviensis (Bolivian squirrel monkey)
Lineage: Eukaryota; Metazoa; Chordata; Mammalia; Primates; Cebidae
Description: 7SK RNA (ENSSBOG00000009866.1)
Rfam family: 7SK RNA
About the family: 7SK was discovered as an abundant small nuclear RNA in the mid-70s but a possible function has only recently been suggested.
Source: RNAcentral